This 497-nucleotide ribosomal RNA is filed under the name uncultured bacterium. RNAcentral describes it as "partial 16S ribosomal RNA". It matches the Rfam family "Bacterial small subunit ribosomal RNA", at positions 28 to 507 of the family's 1533-position model. The record is from RNAcentral.
GAUGAACGCUGGCGGCGUGCCUAAUACAUGCAAGUCGAGCGAACAUACGAGGAGCUUGCUCCUCUGACGUUAGCGGCGGACGGGUGAGUAACACGUGGAUAACCUACCUAUAAGACGGGGAUAACUUCGGGAAACCGGAUCUAAUACCGGAUAAUAUAUUGAACCGCAGGGUUCAAUAGUGAAAGACGGUUUUGCGGUCACUUAUAGAUGCAUGCGCGCCGCAUUAGCUAGUUGGUAAGGUAACGGCUUACCAAGGCAACGAUGCGUAGCCGACCUGAGAGGGUGAGCGGCCACACUGGACCUGAGACACGGUCCAGCCUCCUACGGGAGGCAGCAGUAGGGAAUCUUCCGCAAUGGGCGAAAGCUUGACGGAGCAACGCCGCGUGGGUGAUGAAGGUCUUCGGAUCGUAAAACUCUGUUAUUAGGGAAGAACAAAUGUGUAAGUAACUAUGCACGUCUUGACGGUACCUAAUCAGAAAGCCACGGCUAACUACGUG